Molecule: ribosomal RNA, 460 nt
Filed under: uncultured bacterium
Lineage: Bacteria
Description: partial 16S ribosomal RNA
Rfam family: Bacterial small subunit ribosomal RNA
Source: RNAcentral
CCUACGGGGGGCAGCAGUGAGGAAUAUUGGUCAAUGGACGAGAGUCUGAACCAGCCAAGUAGCGUGAAGGAUGACUGCCCUAUGGUUUGUAAACUUCUUUUAUAUGGGAAUAAAACGUUCCACGUGUGGGAUUUUGUAUGUACCAUAUGAAUAAGGAUCGGCUAACUCCGUGCCAGCAGCCGCGGUAAUACGGAGGAUCCGAGCGUUAUCCGGAUUUAUUGGGGUUAAAGGGUGCGUAGGUGGAUUGUUAAGUCAGUUGUGAAAGUUUGCGGCUCAACCGUAAAAGUGCAGUUGAAACUGGCAGUCUUGAGUACAGUAGAGGUGGGCGGAAUUCGUGGUGUAGCGGUGAAAUGCGUAGAGAUCACGAAGAAUUCCGAUUGCGAAGGCAGUUCACUGGACUGCAACUGACACUGAGGCUCGAAAGUGUGGGUAUCAAACAGGAUUAGAUACCCUAGUAGUC